UUGAAAAUAAACCUGAUGGGUUGUCGCUGGUUCUCUAGGGAGCAUGUGCACGCCUUGUCAUCUUUAUAUCUCCACCUGUGCACCUUUUGUAGACCCCUCCAGGUCUAUGUCGCUUCAUUUACCCCAAUGUAUGUCAAUAGAAUGUAUGUGCAUAUGAAAUCUAUA
Molecule: unclassified non-coding RNA, 165 nt
Filed under: uncultured Cortinarius
Lineage: Eukaryota; Fungi; Basidiomycota; Agaricomycetes; Agaricales; Cortinariaceae
Description: sequence contains ITS1
Source: RNAcentral